This 464-nucleotide ribosomal RNA is filed under the name uncultured bacterium. RNAcentral describes it as "partial 16S ribosomal RNA". It matches the Rfam family "Bacterial small subunit ribosomal RNA", at positions 28 to 506 of the family's 1533-position model. The record is from RNAcentral.
GACGAACGCUGGCGGCGUGCUUAACACAUGCAAGUCGUACGGUAAGGCCCUUUCGGGGGUACACGAGUGGCGAACGGGUGAGUAACACGUGAGUAACCUGCCCACAACUUUGGGAUAACGCUAGGAAACUGGUGCUAAUACUGGAUAUGUGCUCCUGCUGCAUGGUGGGGGUUGGAAAGCUCCGGCGGUUGUGGAUGGACUCGCGGCCUAUCAGCUUGUUGGUGGGGUAGUGGCCUACCAAGGCGGCGACGGGUAGCCGGCCUGAGAGGGUGACCGGCCACAUUGGGACUGAGAUACGGCCCAGACUCCUACGGGAGGCAGCAGUGGGGAAUAUUGCACAAUGGGCGCAAGCCUGAUGCAGCAACGCCGCGUGCGGGAUGACGGCCUUCGGGUUGUAAACCGCUUUCAGCAGGGACGAAGCUUUUUGUGACGGUACCUGCAGAAGGAGCACCGGCUAACUACGU